UCCAAUGUGGUGUAGUGGCUAACAUUGCUGUCUUUCAUCGCCCGUCAUGACAUCUCCCACAGCAGCCCGGGGUUCGAUUCCCCGCAUUGGAA
This is a non-coding RNA of Rhodocollybia butyracea, 92 nucleotides long. Lineage: Eukaryota; Fungi; Basidiomycota; Agaricomycetes; Agaricales; Omphalotaceae. The record is from the annotation of a GenBank genome assembly.